GAACGCGGUAUGCGGUGAAAGCUGCACGUACCGUGUGGUGUGGGGGAAAAAUUGGCGAUAAUUUCAAAAAUUUACCUAUCACAAU
Globicatella sp. HMSC072A10 is the source of this 85-nucleotide non-coding RNA. NCBI's taxonomy places the organism in Bacteria, Bacillati, Bacillota, Bacilli, Lactobacillales, Aerococcaceae. The record is from Rfam.